CGCCUGCGCACUCCUGAGUGUGCCACCGGGACGCGCGCGCAGCUGUCUCGGCUAUUUUGUGGUGAGAAGGAAACAUUUAUUACAGUACUGUUUCUCAUGGAACAAGAACGUGUAGUUUCAUGGUGCACGGCUGCCAGAUGUUUCCCAGGUUUCAGUGUCCCAGGUAGAUAAAGGAAAAUUCGGCAAGGUCAGAAGAGAAAAGAACAGAUUUAUCAUGAAAUAGGAAUGGUAACUGUGUCCCAAGUGUACAGAAGGGGAAGAAUUGAAGUCUUUCUGGAAGAAGAUAGAUACAAUCCAACAUGAAUCAAGAAAUAGAAUUAUUAGCAUAUUCUUUCAAUACCAAGAAGUAAAUUCCAGAUGCAAUGAAGACUUUCUUUCCAGAGACAGAAUCUUGAGCCAAAAUUGAAAUCACUGGGUAAUGAAGAGAACGUAGCUUUGGAAAAACGUUGGAAUCAGAUAGCCUUGAGUAGAGAUUUCGGCCACUCCACUAAGCAGCUGUAUAACAUUCUGUAAAGCACCAUUCCAUCUGGGGCUUGACUGUGUUGUGUUUCACCUGGCGACCCCAACCCCGACACGCAACAGGCAGAAGUGUUUGGAGUCCUCCUCUGGGGUUGGUAGCCGGUAACAGUACCAACAUAGCAGGGCUUAUUAGCAGCCAAUGGUUAUUUGCAGAGGAGGUAGUUAUUUGCUGAAAGCUACUGAAGCAGUUAACCAGACUGAUGUGCCUUGAAGCUGCAAGUAUUUUCUCCAUGACCUGCCGGAGAGAUACCGCCAUCAUUUUUCUCCAGUGAAGAUGCUGAAAUUGGUGUGAAUGCAAUGAAAGCUGAGAUGCAGGUGGAGAUUCAGAGAUAGUUUUGUCAUCUUGAAAGCCAAUUAUUUGCUCCAAUGCCACAUUUCCAGGUCCAAGGUUUGAGGACAGAUUUAUCUCCUGUGAGCACGUGAAGCAUUGUAAGUGCUGUACACACCUUAGGAAUAAAAAACCAGAGCAAGAAAAACAAUCUUAAGGCUGCUCCUGAAAAUAUUCAGAAAUUAUCUUCUUUAAACCGUGCACAAAGCUCGGUUGGUGAGCCUGCUUCAGUGAAAUUGCACUAUCACCAUCGACCUAACGUCGGACUUCAGGAGGUAAAUUUUUACCUUGGUCAGUUACUAUUAGGAAAGAAACUUAAUUAAAUCGGUGACAGCAUCACCAGGGGCAGAACUCCAUGCUGGCGGUGCUAGCCAAAAACACGGUUGUGCGCGUUCUGACUUCACUUGAAAGUGAAUAUCCAUUUGGUACAAAAUUACAGACGGUGGUGCAGUGGUUGAAAGAGCAGGCCAGCAGCUGUCUGAGCCCAGAUGUUUCUGUAGCUACAGUAAACCCUCACACUUAAAAAAAUGACUAUGAUAGCUUUUAAUAACAAAAUUGUAAUAUUUUAAAAUAAAAUUUUAUGUAUGGAAGUUCAUUCUAGGAUAGAAUAUUUGUUUCUGGCCUUGCUCAGGCCAUUGGGCAUGCAGCUAAAAUGUGUAUUUUGUGCAUCCCUGCUUUACAGUGGACACAACUUAAAAUUAACAUUUGAUAUCCUAUUAAAACAAUUCCUUGGCCCCCUCUGCAGCUCUGUAUCAGCUUGUGUCCUUGUUAAGCUCUCCUCUUCUUCCCCUUCUCUGCUUUGUUCCUCUCAGGAGACAAAUAUUGGAAGUUCCUUUCAUUUUCUUAGGGGAACAGUUUGGCCCUCUCCCACCUCUGCCUUCAAAUUCAGCUAGGGCCGUUCUUCUCAUAGCUAAGGUCUUAUAGUAAGUACUGAAACAUAGAGCAACACCUUGC
Molecule: long non-coding RNA, 1801 nt
Organism: Physeter macrocephalus (sperm whale)
Lineage: Eukaryota; Metazoa; Chordata; Mammalia; Artiodactyla; Physeteridae
Exons: 6
Source: RefSeq, a predicted model, not a curated record